Molecule: ribosomal RNA, 646 nt
Filed under: uncultured Chloroflexota bacterium
Lineage: Bacteria; Bacillati; Chloroflexota
Description: bacterial SSU rRNA
Rfam family: Bacterial small subunit ribosomal RNA
Source: RNAcentral
GUGACCUGCCCUGGAGUGGGGAAUAACUAUCCUAACGGAUAGCUAAUACCGCAUAUGCUCGGUGAUUCAUUUUGCCGAGUAAAGUCGAAAGGCGCUUCAGGAUGGGCCUGCGGCGGAUUAGGUAGUUGGUGGGGUAACGGCCUACCAAGCCGAUGAUCCGUAGGGGGCGUGAGAGCGUGGCCCCCCACACUGGCACUGAGAUACGGGCCAGACUCCUACGGGAGGCAGCAGUGAGGAAUAUUGCGCAAUGGGCGAAAGCCUGACGCAGCAACGCCGCGUGAGGGACGAAGGCCUUCGGGUCGUAAACCUCUUUUCUGGGGAAAGAGCAAGGACGGUACCUCAGGAAUAAGUCUCGGCUAACUACGUGCCAGCAGCCGCGGUAAAACGUAGGAGGCGAGCGUUAUCCGGAUUUACUGGGCGUAAAGCGCACGCAGGCGGCUUCGUUAGUCGGGUGUGAAAGCUCCUAGCUUAACUGGGAGAGGCCACUCGAUACUGCGAGGCUUGAGGUUGGGAGAGGGGUGUGGAAUUCCCGGUGUAGUGGUGGAAUGCGUAGAUAUCGGGAGGAACACCUGUGGCGAAAGCGGCACCCUGGCCCACACCUGACGCUGAGGUGCGAAAGCGUGGGGAGUAAACAGGAUUAGAUACC